UAAAAACAUAAAAUAUGUGUAAUAUGCACUUUUUUAACGGUUCCUGGCGUGGGCAUGUAUAUUUUGUAGUUGCUGUAAAGUAUAAGGGUUGGACAUUUUCGAUGCUGUAUUCUCUCUAUUAAUUGUCUAUCAUAAAAUGAUAGUAUGGAUCCAAAGCUAUGUACUGAUAAAUUUGAUGUGGGACUUGUCAGUAAAAAAUAGACAUUGAAAAUUCUCGCCGUUUUGUUGUAAGUUUAGUUAUCAUAACCUCACAGAUUUCUUGUUGUAAACAAAAUAUACGCCGGGCUAUUCAAUAAAACUUACAAUACGACCCACAC
Molecule: long non-coding RNA, 317 nt
Filed under: Mytilus galloprovincialis (Mediterranean mussel)
Lineage: Eukaryota; Metazoa; Mollusca; Bivalvia; Mytilida; Mytilidae
Source: RNAcentral